ACAGCAGUAGUUCAAUUGGAAGAGCACCUUCUCAGCAGGAAGGGAGUUGCGGGUUCGAGUCUCGCCUGCUGUU
This 73-nucleotide transfer RNA is filed under the name Kordia sp. TARA_039_SRF. Its description in RNAcentral is "tRNA-Ala". It matches the Rfam family "tRNA". Rfam says of the family: Transfer RNA (tRNA) molecules are approximately 80 nucleotides in length. Lineage: Bacteria; Pseudomonadati; Bacteroidota; Flavobacteriia; Flavobacteriales; Flavobacteriaceae. The record is from RNAcentral.